This 1866-nucleotide unclassified non-coding RNA is filed under the name Hevea brasiliensis (rubber tree). Lineage: Eukaryota; Viridiplantae; Streptophyta; Magnoliopsida; Malpighiales; Euphorbiaceae. The record is from RNAcentral.
UCUCUCUCUCUCUCUCUCUCCACUCGUGUCUCUGUUCUGCUUCUAUCGCCUUCUUUCAUAGGCCAGUAGCCAGAGAUAGAGUGCAAGCUGAGAGUCAGAAGGGAAGAGGUGGGAGACGAGCGCAGCUAAGCACUGAGGCCUGAUUCUGCGCCCUGGUUGGUUCCCUUUUCAUGGAUUCUUCUAUUUUAUCCGUCCUCUAUGAUCGCUUCGUUACCACGGCAAUUCUGGUUUCAAACUAAGGAAAACAUGGAUUCUUGUUUCCAUUUCCCCCCCCUGGUUAGAAUCUCUGCAUUUCUCGUAUCUACAACUAACUCUGGCGGACCUUAAAGGAACUCUUGUGUUCCUUCGAUCCUCUCUUUUCUCCUUCCUGUCAGAUCAGUUCGAUUUCAAAUCUAAUAAAAAAAAGAGGAGAGGGAUUUAUCAGGGGAAAAUGCUAUGGGUUAUGCGUUUUUCAGGCUUCUUCUCUGCAGCCAUGAUCAUGAUUAUCCUCUCCCCCUCUCUUCAAUCCUUCCCUCCUGCCGAGGCCAUUCGAUCUUCUCACCUCGACGGCUUCUUGGGAAAUCCUAUCACUGAUUUGCCGGACCGAUUCUGCUUCCGAAAAGCGGCUGUAUUCCACAAUGCCGACAAAUGUGGCUUCAGAGAUAACAGAAUCUCCGGAAAAACUGACGUCUGCGAUCCGUCCUUGGUACAUGUUGCCAUUACACUCGAUGUUGAGUACCUUCGGGGGUCAAUCGCCGCUGUACACUCCAUAUUGCAGCAUUCAUUGUGUCCAGAGAGUGUUUUUUUUCACUUUUUGGUUUCGGAGAUCAAUCUGGAAUACCUAGUGAGGUCUACUUUCCCUCAAUUGAAGUUCAAGGUGUAUUACUUCGAUCCAGAGAUUGUGCGAAAUCUGAUCUCCACUUCCGUGAGGCAAGCCCUUGAACAGCCACUCAAUUACGCGAGGAAUUACUUGGCUGAUCUGCUGGAGCCUUGUGUUCGCCGAGUGAUCUACUUGGACUCUGAUUUAGUCGUGGUUGAUGAUAUUGCAAAGCUGUGGACUACGAAUUUGGGUUCUAGAACAAUCGGUGCCCCGGAAUACUGCCACGCAAACUUUACGAAAUAUUUCACGGCGAGCUUCUGGUUGAAUUUAAAGUUUUCCGGUACUUUUAGUGGUCGGAAAUCGUGCUAUUUCAACACUGGAGUAAUGGUGAUAGAUCUGGCUAAGUGGAGACGGGUCGGGUACACAAAGCGGAUUGAGAGAUGGAUGGAGAUCCAGAAGAGUGAUCGGAUCUAUGAGCUGGGGUCGCUGCCGCCGUUCCUCUUAGUAUUCGCGGGACACGUAGCGCCGAUUGAGCACCGGUGGAACCAACACGGAUUAGGUGGUGAUAAUGGGAGAGGCAGCUGUCGUAACUUGCAUCCAGGUCCAGUUAGCCUUCUGCAUUGGUCCGGCAGUGGCAAGCCUUGGCUGAGGAUAGACUCGAAGCAACCUUGCCCGCUUGAUGCUCUAUGGGCUCCAUACGACUUGUACGGACACUCACAUUGAAUCACAGGAGUAGUCGCCGGGAGAUAUUCAAUUUGAUUGUGCGAGUGUCUGUUGGAUUUGGCAUUAAAGUUACAGUAGCAAUUAGGGCCACAACUGGUCUGUCAGCUGGAGAUAUUCAAUGGUGAGAGGGAGACGGACCAGACGGUACACGUGAUAAUGGUGCCAUUGCGGUGGAUAUGCAUUUUUUGAAAUGACCAAAUUGCACUUGUUGCUGUUGGGGAAUUGUUAAUUAUAAGCAUACUGGCUGGUGUCGGUCAACUGAUUUGUGAAAAAUUAUGUGAUGAAACUGAUGAGUAUCUUAUAAUUUUAUUAUAAUAAUUAAUUGUGAUAAAUAUUAUGAAAAU